ACCGGCCCCCGCAGGCUUUCCGGGCGGAUGGGGGUGGGAAGGGGUUCCCUCCAGUAUCGCCGCCGGCAGCAGCUGGUGCAAAGCUGGGGAAAGGCAGUAACGUUAUCCUGGGCAGGCGGUGCGGCUCCUUCCGAAAACGCUGCGCUGUUUUUGCAGGACGACGAUCCCCGCUCGGUCCGGAUGGAGAGGGGACCCUUGGGAAUGCCAGGUGCAGCACGCGUUCAUCAUCAGUCUCUGUGUAAACCUGUCCAGUGAGACCGAACCGCUGUGGUGUCGUCAAUGUAGGGUUCCCUGUAUGGAUGUCCGUUGUUACAGAAAAAAAUCAGAGGGAUGGAAAACAUUUGUCAUCAACACUGCACUUUCUCUGCUUCCCUUAUGGAGAACAUCCAUACCCAGGUCUUGGUCUUGCUUGGAAUGUAUGCUGUACAUCACAGAUAAAAGUAUUUAUCAAGGAAGCACUCUCCAGUGUGGAAUAGACAUCUUACUUCUGAGAACAUGAAGGCUUCAUCAACAAGCAGAAUGUUCUCCCACGUUCAAGUCCUUUAUCCACUAAGCUGAAGAACCCUUGAGCCACCUAAAGACUAAAGAAAAGAAAAAUCCCAAAUGGCUGAGAAAGAAGAGGACAUGGCAUGUGUCCAUGGGGCUAGAAGGCUUAUAACUGCAUAUACACCUGUGUCACCAAAAGGCAGAAGGCUUGGACGAUGAUAGUUAAAGGAACCCUUCUGAGGCAUACAAACCCACUAAUUUAAUGACGUGACCAACAAUCUGGAGAGACUGCAUUCAUGAAACAAGAUCCAGACAAACGGGCUGAUGACAUUUGUCUGGUUUCUGACCAUUACCCUAGGUUGCUUACUCAUGUGGGUGGGCAUUAAUAAUAUCAGACUUAUCUGACAUGCCAGGGGUGAUACAGGCAAUCUGAAGCAAAUAUCUGCACUAAGAAGGGCUGAUACUGUUACGGUGUAAGCAUGUUGCUACACUUUCAGUAACAAUAAUAGUCAUAACUGCCUUCUGAAUCAAGCAAUCCCCAUCACAUCCUCUUAGUUCUGUUGUCGUCUUUUUCUGUGCAAAGGUAAAUCUUUGAACGUGGCCAGUCCACACCCUGAGUUCAUCCUUUGUCCUACAACAACUUUUGCAGAGCUGCAAAAGAAAAUACUGUAUUCUGUUCACAUUGCAACCAAUUCCAAGUGAUUAACUGAGUGCAAAAUGGAAGGGAAGAAAGGGAAACAAAGUAGUCUGUAUGCUGUUUUGAGCUCUUACUGUAUUUUUUUCAAAGGAGCAGAGUCCAACAUUCCCAGAGAUAUUUUCUAUCUCGGUGUGCUCUUUGCUCUCUAGUGCUUAGUAAUAUGAUUGCAUCAGCCCAGCUGUCAUGGAUUGUAGAUUAGACAGAAAGGAAAGGACAUGGGAUUGUUCUUUAGUUUUGUCUCCUGCUUUAUUUUGCUUAAGCCAUAGAUAGUAACUUACUGAAACAAUUGAUUAGUCAAAGCUUGACUUGCAUUUUUUUUUACUGAGAGGCUAUGCUAGUACUGUGCUAUCAUACCUUUUUGUUAGCAGAGGGGGUUCUGUGAUCAUCUGGAGUUUUGGGGAGAGUUAUGUUCUUACUGGGGUUCCAGUGGAGAAAGGCCACACUGGUCCCAGUGCACCCCUCUGUAGUCCCAUUCUUGGAAUAGAUUUCAAUAAGCUGUGAGGCACCUUUGAUGAGAGGCAAAGUGACUUCUAAUUGCAGAGUUUUAAAUUGUAGGUUCUGUUUAUGUAUGUUCUUUUAACAUAUGUUUAACUUUAGUGUUCAUCAAGCAACUGGGCCAAAAAGAUCUUUGUUUCAGCCUAGCCCCUCUUGGGAGUACCUAGAAAGUGCCAAGUCCAUGUAUGAAACAUCUGAAAGUCCUCCAGCAAACGAAGGGAAGACAGCACUCGCUGUUCCUGAUGUUUAUUAUCAGCAGGGGAACGGGAGAAGGAAAAUGCAUUUGAAAAAUUCAAGUCAGCAUUUUUCAAGCCUUCCUCGUGAAUAGUAUAGAUUUUUCUUUCCUUAAAGUGUGAAUCAAGUAGAGUAUUAAUGAAAUGCGCUUAAGCGUUAUAUAUUGGAAACUCUCAAAUUUAAAAGAAAAAAGCCAGGCUGUGUUUGUUUGCGCUCUUGGAGAAUUUUCAUAAGGGUGCAGUAGAAUUAGUUGUAGAAUCUAGGUUAAGUUCGCUCCAGACUGCAAGGAAUCUUUUCAAAGCUUAGGGUGAAACAUUUCAUUUUGAUUUACCUACCCUCAUUCCUUUAUAAGUACUUCAAAGUGGAUACAAAUUUGCAUUUUUUAGUUUAAACACAAAGCCAAAGCAUUUUACAAUGUUUUAUAAUAAUGUGAAAAAAAAAAUACUUCUAUAUACUUUUACUAAAUUUGUGUUCCACCUACAUCAAUAGUAUGUCUCCAGCUGAACUCAGUGGAGUCAGAAAUUUGUCCAGUAAGUCUUUUCCCUUUGCACAAUUUCUCAGAUUUUCUUUACCAUGAUAACAGUGACAAUUAUUUACAAACUUAAGACACAAUCUUAAAUGAGGCGUAUAUUAAAAAUGGUUACUAAAUGCACAGCAACUUUAACAAUGGACAGAACUUUUCAGAUUUUUGAAAAUUUCUGGAUGUAUUUUUAAUAAAUGCAGAUUUCAACAAGUCCAUCAAAGUGAACUUCAAAUCUUACUUAAUAGAAUUUGGAAUUAUGUAAUGUUGGGAUUGAGACUUUAAUUAUUUAUGCCAAAACGUUCAAUGUUUAGAUUCUACUUGAAUUACUCAAUGUUUCUAACUACUUAAACAGAUUAUUAAAAUUAGACCUAGAUAUUAUUCAAUGCUUAAAUAACCUUUCAGGUAUUGCGUAGUUAAUAUUCAGUGUCUUUCAAACACAGGAAAGGCCUGUACUGUAGCUUUGACUGUGAGCACACAAUUAGCCCCAUUGAUCUCAAUAAAAACCCGCAUGCGUAUAAACUAGGAACACUCUUAAAAUAUCUUGAUGACCCAUGGAGAAAGAUUAUUUUCACAUCAGUCAAAAAAUAUGACCUAGCUGGUUCUGACGACAACUGAGAAUUUUAAGUGAGCACUGACACAACCCCCACAAUCAGGAAAUUUAAUACGAGGAAGAAAUGAAUCCGUCCCUCCAAUGCACCAUCUAAUUUAAAAAUUAUAUAUGAAUAAAACAGCAAUACAUAGUUAAACAUUUGAGAAGGUCAGAUAUACUUUUUUAAAUUCUUUAAAGUACACUGAAGUAGAAGAUUUUGUAUAGAUGUGCAUACACAGGAAAUUAAAGUGCAUUGUAUUAUA
This is a long non-coding RNA of Struthio camelus australis, 3287 nucleotides long. RefSeq lists it as uncharacterized. The record is from RefSeq and is a predicted model, not a curated record. NCBI's taxonomy places the organism in Eukaryota, Metazoa, Chordata, Aves, Struthioniformes, Struthionidae.